RNAcentral lists this ribosomal RNA (492 nucleotides) under uncultured bacterium. Its description in RNAcentral is "partial 16S ribosomal RNA". It matches the Rfam family "Bacterial small subunit ribosomal RNA", at positions 29 to 507 of the family's 1533-position model. The record is from RNAcentral.
AGUGAACGCUGGCGGUAGGCCUAACACAUGCAAGUCGAACGGCAGCACAGUAAGAGCUUGCUCUUACGGGUGGCGAGUGGCGGACGGGUGAGGAAUACAUCGGAAUCUACUUUUUCGUGGGGGAUAACGUAGGGAAACUUACGCUAAUACCGUAUACGACCUACGGGUGAAAGCAGGGGAUCUUCGGACCUUGCGCGAUUGAAUGAGCCGAUGUCGGAUUAGCUAGUUGGCGGGGUAAAGGCCCACCAAGGCGACGAUCCGUAGCUGGUCUGAGAGGAUGAUCAGCCACACUGGAACUGAGACACGGUCCAGACUCCUACGGGAGGCAGCAGUGGGGAAUAUUGGACAAUGGGCGCAAGCCUGAUCCAGCCAUACCGCGUGGGUGAAGAAGGCCUUCGGGUUGUAAAGCCCUCUUGUUGGGAAAGAAAAGCAGCAGGUUAAUACCCCGCUGUUCUGACGGUACCCAAAGAAUAAGCACCGGCUAACUUCGUG